AAGUGAUUUCAGUAAACUAGCCAUGUUACAAGCCUUAAAGACAUUGAAGUCAUUAAGGUCCCUGAAAAUGGCUAUAAGA
RNAcentral lists this small nucleolar RNA (79 nucleotides) under Myotis lucifugus (little brown bat). RNAcentral's name for it is "Small nucleolar RNA SNORA33 (ENSMLUG00000021710.2)". The record is from RNAcentral. Lineage: Eukaryota; Metazoa; Chordata; Mammalia; Chiroptera; Vespertilionidae.